UUCAACCUCUCGAAAGAGUGGUGCACUUUACUGUGAACGGACCAACAUCAGUUUUGACGGUCGGAUAAAAGUCCAAGGAACGUGGCUCUUCUUCGGAAGUGUGUUAUAGCCUUGUUCAUAAUGCGGCCAGUCGGGACUGAGGAUUUUUGCGCCUUGUGCGAGGAUGUUGGCAUAAUGGUUGUUAGCGACCCGUCUUGAAACACGGACCAAGGAGUCAACCAAUUACGCGAGCAUUUGGGUGUAAAACCCCUUGUGCGUAAUGAAAGUGAAUGUUGGUGGGAUUCUUUUAGAAGCACCAUCGACCGAUCUGAGUUCGCGAGGAUUUGAGUAUGAGUGUCAUUGGUUGGACCCGAAAGAAGGUGAACUAUUCUUGACUAGGCUGAAGCCAGAGGAAACUCUGGUGGAGGGUCGCAGCGGUUCUGACGUGCAAAUCGAUCGUCAAAGCUGAGAAUAGGGGCGAAAGACUAAUCGAACCUUCUAGUAGCUGGUUCCUGUCGAAGUUUCCCUCAGGAUAGCAGCAACGAAUCAAACAGUCUCAUGAGGUAGAGCAACGAUUAGAGGCCUUGGGGUUGAAACAACCUUAACCUAUUCUCGAACUCCGAAUAUGUGAGAAGUCCUUGUUACUUUAUUGAACGGGACAUUGGAUUAUCGGCUGCUUUGAAAAAAAAAAUU
This 672-nucleotide ribosomal RNA is filed under the name Chapsa laceratula. Its description in RNAcentral is "eukaryotic LSU rRNA". It matches the Rfam family "Eukaryotic large subunit ribosomal RNA", at positions 455 to 1176 of the family's 3401-position model. The record is from RNAcentral. Lineage: Eukaryota; Fungi; Ascomycota; Lecanoromycetes; Ostropales; Graphidaceae.